AUGUAUUUUCAGCCUUAUGAAUGUCUUUUGAAAUAAUUUCUUACAAGUGCACUAAAUGCAUCUCUUAUAUUUAUUUUAAGGCCUUUUCCAUCAUCCUAGGAUAUGCAGCCGACGCAUUCUACGAUCCAUCACAUAAAUUUGAUCUAUCAAUCGAUAAAAAUGCUGAUCAAUGCAGGGAUUUUGGAUUCCCAAAACAAUUCUUUGAUGUGGAACAACAAUCAUGUCCGAAACACACGUGAUCCUUCAGCUAUAUUACAGCACUAGCACAAAUUUAUCAUUAGACACAAUUUAUUUAUGACGAAGUUUAUUUAUAAGCUGAUAUUUUCAAUUAUUAUUUAAUACGUAAAUAACUG
This 353-nucleotide long non-coding RNA is filed under the name Androctonus crassicauda. The record is from RNAcentral. Lineage: Eukaryota; Metazoa; Arthropoda; Arachnida; Scorpiones; Buthidae.